This is a long non-coding RNA of Mustela erminea (ermine), 267 nucleotides long. RefSeq lists it as uncharacterized. NCBI's taxonomy places the organism in Eukaryota, Metazoa, Chordata, Mammalia, Carnivora, Mustelidae. The transcript has 3 exons. The record is from RefSeq and is a predicted model, not a curated record.
GCACACACACACACACACACACACACACACACACACUCACACACCCACACAGAAAACGCAACUUUCAGUGCAGUCAGAUCUUUCCUUCUUAACCUAGUCUACUCCAGUCAAGCCCAGCCCUACGCUGUUAGGUCCGACAAUCUCCAGCCUUUCUCACACAUGUCAUAUACACCUGUUCAGGAUGUACAUUCAGGGAUGCCAAGCUGGGGGAAGAAGAGCCCAAGUGACAAAGACAGAAAGCAAAGAUCGCGAGAGCCAGGCAGAGCC